This 77-nucleotide transfer RNA is filed under the name Candidatus Handelsmanbacteria bacterium RIFCSPLOWO2_12_FULL_64_10. RNAcentral's name for it is "tRNA-Arg". It matches the Rfam family "tRNA". From Rfam's summary of the family: Transfer RNA (tRNA) molecules are approximately 80 nucleotides in length. Their secondary structure includes four short double-helical elements and three loops (D, anti-codon, and T loops). Lineage: Bacteria; Candidatus Handelsmaniibacteriota. The record is from RNAcentral.
GGCCCUGUAGCUCAGGUGGAUAGAGCAGCGGUUUCCUAAACCGUUGGUCGCGUGUUCGAGUCGCGCCAGGGCCACCA